RNAcentral lists this ribosomal RNA (334 nucleotides) under uncultured eukaryote. RNAcentral's name for it is "partial 18S ribosomal RNA". It matches the Rfam family "Eukaryotic small subunit ribosomal RNA", at positions 1470 to 1796 of the family's 1831-position model. The record is from RNAcentral.
CCCUUAGAUGUUCGGGGCCGCACGCGCGCUACACUGAAGCAAUCAACGUGCCUGUCUCCUGGUCCGGAAGGAUCGGGCAACCCGCUGAACCUGCUUCGUGAUAGGGACUGGGGCUUGCAAUUGUUCCCCACGAACGAGGAAUUCCCAGUAGGCGCGAGUCAUGAGCUCGCGUCGAUUACGUCCCUGCCCUUUGUGCACACCGCCCGUCGCUACUACCGAUUGAAUGGCUUAGUGAGAUCCUCGGAUGGGUCCUGGCACGCACCUUCGGGGGCGCGCCGGUGUUGCCGAGAAGACGAUCGAACUUGAUCAUUUAGAGGAAGUAAAAGUCGUAACA